This 2175-nucleotide unclassified non-coding RNA is filed under the name Haliotis rufescens (red abalone). RNAcentral describes it as "mucin-2-like, transcript variant X2". Lineage: Eukaryota; Metazoa; Mollusca; Gastropoda; Lepetellida; Haliotidae. The record is from RNAcentral.
AUAUCAAAAGAUACUCCCUUUGUAUACAUUUCAAUCUCAGCAAGGAUAUAAAUUUGACUGAUCAUGAGAAGAGUCCAAAGUAAACUCAGUGGACCGAUUUCAAGUAUACAUCCUGGUUGAAUGUUGAAAUGCAGUCUGACCCGAUAUAGGAUUUUGAGAAAAUGAAGAUUCUUAUUCUGCUAACGUUAAGCCAGUUUGGAUUGUGCCAAGACAGUAUAGGAGCUAUCGUUGACAUUCUAAAGCCAAAUCCAGGGUUGAGAGACUGUACUCUCCCCAGGGAGUUCACAGUGCGUGUAAGGACACACAAUGACUCCGUCACUCUUCAGUUGGAGACCAGCACGUCAGUGAAGAAAACAACCCCCGUAUAUGUAUCUAGACAGGAUGAGAAGGGGAACCCAAUCAUCGUCAGAGAUACAGUGUUGGAGCUGGAGGGAACAGCCGAAUACCAGGAUGUGAUUCACAUGGCUAACAUCGAGGUUACCUGCGUUAUUAAGGCAGAGAACCAACCGUAUUAUGCAUUUGAAGGGUUUCUCUUGCUCAAUGGACCAAGUAUGUAUGAGCUGAAGCCGACAGGAACAGAAUCAGCUUCCAGUGAUAUCAAAUACACACUUACUUCUUCCCCAGUACACAUUCCACCAAUAGAUAAUGAUGAUGAUGGCGAGAAGGGUCAGUCAGGAAGUGACAGUGAGAUGAUGGCAUCAGAAUCCUUGAGGAAGAAGCGCCAGAUUCAGGAGCCAAUCUACGUGGACGUUAUUACGGUGAUAGCGUUCUCUGUUUAUGAAAGAUGGUAUUCCAGAGCAACCCAGCUGUCCGAAGCCUUGAAGCACCAGGAGACAAAACAAGGCAUCAAAAGACACUUUGCACAUCUUGUAAACGGGGUAGAUCUCCGUUAUAAGAAGGCGUCCCCUCUGUACAACAUAAACCUGGUAGGAUAUAUCAUUGAGGAUGUGCAGUUACCACGACCGUUCCAAGGCGCUGUAGUUAAUGAAACGAAGAUAGAUGGUGAUAAACUUCUCAGUGGCACAAGGCAAUGGAAGGCUGACACACCAGGAUUCCCUGACAAUGACCACAUUAUUGUGUUCACAGCGAACGAUCUGUUCAUUGUGGCAAACACCGGAAAAACGAGUAACCUGCUUGGAUAUGCAUAUGUAGGAACAAUAUGUGAAACACCAUAUAACAGUGUGUCAGCUGUGGAAUACACUGACAAUCUGAUUGACGACAUGCUCGUCACAACACACGAAGUCGGACAUGCGCUCAGCGCCAGGCACGACGGGGAAUACAACAACAUGUGUAACUCUACAUACAAGUACAUCAUGACCGGCAGCGGGUACAGCACGACCCAUGUUCUUGACCACAACAACUACUACGUCUUUUCUACAUGCUCGUCACGCUACUUUCAAACCUUCAUCCAAGGAAUCCUGACAAACGGUACAAAUGCCCAACAGCAAUGCCUACAGACGAGUCUCGAGCCGGCUUCUGUGACAAACAUCACGGGGACGAUGCCGGGACAGCUCUACGACGUUCACACGCAGUGUCAAAUGAUGUUUGGGCCAGGCUUCGUCUUGCGAUCAGAUAUUGACAUAGGUAAUUCAGAAAACAUAUGCAAGAGAAUGGUCUGUGGCAAGGAACAGCUUCAGUCGUUCCGAAACGCUGCAGAAGGAACGUCAUGUGGCAAUAAAAAGUGGUGUGUUGCUGGACAGUGUGUGUUUUCCAUAGAUGCACCAGAACAAAACAAUACUGACUGUCUCUUUGGGAACCAGCCAAUCGUGUACCCGGGCAAUAGAACAUGUGCUGAGCUGAUAGGUGCAACACCACGUUUGUGCUACAAUCCUGGUAAUUUGACUGCCUGCUGUGAGACCUGUCCUGUUUACAAGAGAAAUGACGAAAACUGCCCAUAUGGAGAUCGAUUUAGAAACUGUGACACAUUAACUCAGGACACGAAACGUUUAUGCUACGUUGAAGGAAAUGCCAGGGGUUGUUGUGAAACAUGUCCACUUUUCAAGUCGGCAGUAGGAGCAGAAACGUCUUUGUUACAAUGAAAACAAUACUUAUGGCUGUUGUGAGACUUGCUCAGCCUACUCGUCAGGAGGUGCAAAUUGCACAUAUGGUGAUCGUUACUCUGACUGUGACACUGGUAUUACUCAGGAACGGAAAAGUCUUUGUUACAUUGAAAAC